Non-coding RNA from Microcebus murinus (gray mouse lemur), 352 nucleotides. Lineage: Eukaryota; Metazoa; Chordata; Mammalia; Primates; Cheirogaleidae. The record is from RefSeq and is a predicted model, not a curated record.
CUUCAGAGAACUGAGUCCUAAGAGCUAGGGUGGCUAUGAGGAGCUGUCUCUGAGCUCGGGUGACAACAGCUCAAUGAAGCCCCCAGCCAGUUUCCUCUGAGGAGAGGCACCAUAGGAAGAAGGACCAUGAGAGGUCUUCUAAAGCUCAGGACCAGGGAGAAACUGGUUGCCUGGACCUAAGAGUGCUUCCAUUGGUGCCAAUGGGAUAGAAGUAAAACCUGUGGCAAUGGUCUUCACUAGAAGGACAGAACCAAGGGUGAUAAUAACCUGCCGCCUACAUACAGCACCUUCUCGAAAUCUCAAGGAGACAGGGAUAGAGAAACCAAACAAACUAACUAAAAUAAAAUAGAAC